CAGCCGUAAACUAUGCGCGUUAGGUGUAUCGGUGACCACGAGUUACCGAGGUGCCGAAGGGAAACCGUGAAACGUGCCGCCUGGGAAGUACGGUCGCAAGGCUGAAACUUAAAGGAAUUGGCGGGGGGAGCACCACAACGGGUGGAGCCUGCGGUUUAAUUGGACUCAACGCCGGAAAUCUCACCGGAUAGGACAGACAUAUGAUAGUCGGGCUGAAGACUCUACUUGAUGAUCUGAGAGGUGGUGCAUGGCGUCAGUGACU
RNAcentral lists this ribosomal RNA (262 nucleotides) under uncultured archaeon. RNAcentral's name for it is "partial 16S ribosomal RNA". It matches the Rfam family "Archaeal small subunit ribosomal RNA", at positions 748 to 1008 of the family's 1478-position model. The record is from RNAcentral.